UUCGGGAGGCACCCGUAGGGAAUCUUCCCCAAUGGACGAAAUUUUGACGGAGCAACCCCGCGUGAAUGAUGAAGGUUUUCGGAUCGGAAAACUCUGUUGUUAGGGAAGAACAAGUCCCUUUUGAAUAAGGCGGGACCUUGACGGUACCUAACCAGAAAGCCCCGGCUAACUACGUGCCAGCAGCCGCGGUAAUACGUAGGUGGCAAGCGUUUUCCGGAAUUAUUGGGCGUAAAGGGCUCGCAGGCGGUUUCUUAAGUCUGAUGUGAAAGCCCCCGGCUCAACCGGGGAGGGUCAUUGGAAACUGGGGAACUUGAGUGCAGAAGAGGAGAGUGGAAUUCCACGUGUAGCGGUGAAAUGCGUAGAGAUGUGGAGGAACACCAGUGGCGAAGGCGACUCUCUGGUCUGUAACUGACGCUGAGGAGCGAAAGCGUGGGGAGCGAACAGGAUUAGAUACCCUGGUAGUCCACGCCGUAAACGAUGAGUGCUAAGUGUUAGGGGGUUUCCGCCCCUUAGUGCUGCAGCUAACGCAUUAAGCACUCCGCCUGGGGAGUACGGUCGCAAGACUGAAACUCAAAGGAAUUGACGGGGGCCCGCACAAGCGGUGGAGCAUGUGGUUUAAUUCGAAGCAACGCGAAGAACCUUACCAGGUCUUGACAUCCUCUGACAAUCCUAGAGAUAGGACGUCCCCUUCGGGGGCAGAGUGACAGGUGGUGCAUGGUUGUCGUCAGCUCGUGUCGUGAGAUGUUGGGUUAAGUCCCGCAACGAGCGCAACCCUUGAUCUUAGUUGCCAGCAUUCAGUUGGGCACUCUAAGGUGACUGCCGGUGACAAACCGGAGGAAGGUGGGGAUGACGUCAAAUCAUCAUGCCCCUUAUGACCUGGGCUACACACGUGCUACAAUGGACAGAACAAAGGGCAGCGAAACCGCGAGGUUAAGCCAAUCCCACAAAUCUGUUCUCAGUUCGGAUCGCAGUCUGCAACUCGCCUGCGUGAAGCUGGAAUCGCUAGUAAUCGCGGAUCAGCAUGCCGCGGUGAAUACGUUCCCGGGCCUU
Molecule: ribosomal RNA, 1050 nt
Filed under: Bacillus subtilis
Lineage: Bacteria; Bacillati; Bacillota; Bacilli; Caryophanales; Bacillaceae
Description: bacterial SSU rRNA
Rfam family: Bacterial small subunit ribosomal RNA
Source: RNAcentral